CUAGAUUUGUAUGUUGGGACGCUACCCUUCCUGACAUUUAGUACAUUGCUAUUUCUACUUUAGAUUUACUGUUAUUUGAAUAUGUGUUUAGUUUUAUUGUGUUUGGUCUCACCACAAUCUCUCUGGGACCUAGCUAUAUUAUCUCAGAGAGACUUCAAUUUCAUACAACAUUAACUACGAUGAAGAUGGAAUAGAGGCUGAAAAACUGAUAUAUGCGGAGAAGCUACUAAUGUGUAGUUGAAAACAAGUGUGAAUGUAUAUGCCCCAUGGUUGGGAUCUGCAUGAAUAUGCAUUAGCAUGAGAAGAUAUAGGCCAUAGAGAUGAACAACAUUAGGUAAAUAAAGGAUUAUUAGGAUCUUUAUAAAUAAAAAUAGGAAAUUAAUCUGGGAAAUUGGAAUCUUCCUACUAUCUCUUCUCCCAGACCUGGAACACGAGCCACAUGUUUUGUUGCCAUUAUCCCAUGAUUUGCAUGUAAUGCUGCAUAUGCACACUUCUUACCAGAUGGCAUAAAACAGUACAAAUAAACAAUGUUAUUUUUGUAUGUAUGUGUACAGUAUAG
Molecule: non-coding RNA, 559 nt
Organism: Pelobates cultripes (western spadefoot toad)
Lineage: Eukaryota; Metazoa; Chordata; Amphibia; Anura; Pelobatidae
Source: the annotation of a GenBank genome assembly